UGCCUAAUACAUGCAAGUCGAGCGAACGGACGAGAAGCUUGCUUCUCUGAUGUUAGCGGCGGACGGGUGAGUAACACGUGGAUAACCUACCUAUAAGACUGGGAUAACUUCGGGAAACCGGAGCUAAUACCGGAUGAUACUUUGAACCGCAUGGUUCAAAAGUGAAAGACGGUCUUGCUGUCACUUAUAGAUGGAUCCGCGCUGCAUUAGCUAGUUGGUAAGGUAACGGCUUACCAAGGCAACGAUGCAUAGCCGACCUGAGAGGGUGAUCGGCCACACUGGAACUGAGACACGGUCCAGACUCCUACGGGAGGCAGCAGUAGGGAAUCUUCCGCAAUGGGCGAAAGCCUGACGGAGCAACGCCGCGUGAGUGAUGAAGGUCUUCGGAUCGUAAAACUCUGUUAUUAGGGAAGAACAUAUGUGUAAGUAACUGUGCACAUCUUGACGGUACCUAAUCAGAAAGCCACGGCUAACUACGUGCCAGCAGCCGCGGUAAUACGUAGGUGGCAAGCGUUAUCCGGAAUUAUUGGGCGUAAAGCGCGCGUAGGCGGUUUUUUAAGUCUGAUGUGAAAGCCCACGGCUCAACCGUGGAGGGUCAUUGGAAACUGGAAAACUUGAGUGCAGAAGAGGAAAGUGGAAUUCCAUGUGUAGCGGUGAAAUGCGCAGAGAUAUGGAGGAACACCAGUGGCGAAG
RNAcentral lists this ribosomal RNA (693 nucleotides) under uncultured Staphylococcus sp. Its description in RNAcentral is "bacterial SSU rRNA". It matches the Rfam family "Bacterial small subunit ribosomal RNA", at positions 45 to 720 of the family's 1533-position model. Lineage: Bacteria; Bacillati; Bacillota; Bacilli; Caryophanales; Staphylococcaceae. The record is from RNAcentral.